GCUCCGGGCUGCCUCAGCGCCGCGGGCCGGGGCCGCAGGGCCGCCCACAGGCCGCUCGGGCGCGGUCCUGGCUGCCUAAAUCUACCUAUUGACUGGUUAUCUCCUCUAGGAUAUAGAACUCCCACUCAAGCCAACUUUUCCUCCUGUGUUCCUUUUCUCGAGACAGGAUCUUGCUAUGUUGCCCAGACUGGCCUUCAAUUCCUGGCCUCACAUGAUCCUUCCAGAGCUUCCCAAGUAGCUGGGACUACGGGCAUGUGUCACAUACCUGGGUGGAAACAUAGAAGCUAU
Molecule: long non-coding RNA, 288 nt
Organism: Lemur catta (Ring-tailed lemur)
Lineage: Eukaryota; Metazoa; Chordata; Mammalia; Primates; Lemuridae
Exons: 3
Source: RefSeq, a predicted model, not a curated record